Molecule: ribosomal RNA, 468 nt
Filed under: uncultured bacterium
Lineage: Bacteria
Description: partial 16S ribosomal RNA
Rfam family: Bacterial small subunit ribosomal RNA
Source: RNAcentral
GACGAACGCUGGCGGCGUGCUUAACACAUGCAAGUCGAACGGAAAGGCCCUGCUUUUGUGGGGUGCUCGAGUGGCGAACGGGCGAGUAACACGUGAGUAACCUGCCCUUGACUUUGGGAUAACUUCAGGAAACUGGGGCUAAUACCGGAUAGGAGCUCCUGCUGCAUGGUGGGGGUUGGAAAGUUUCGGCGGUUGGGGAUGGACUCGCGGCUUAUCAGCUUGUUGGUGGGGUAGUGGCUUACCAAGGCUUUGACGGGUAGCCGGCCUGAGAGGGUGACCGGCCACAUUGGGACUGAGAUACGGCCCAGACUCCUACGGGAGGCAGCAGUGGGGAAUCUUGCACAAUGGGCGGAAGCCUGAUGCAGCAACGCCGCGUGCGGGAUGAAGGCCUUCGGGUUGUAAACCGCUUUCGCCUGUGACGAAGCGUGAGUGACGGUAAUGGGUAAAGAAGCACCGGCUAACUACGUG